AUUGAACGCUGGCGGCAUGCCUUACACAUGCAAGUCGAACGGUAACAGGUCUUCGGAUGCUGACGAGUGGCGAACGGGUGAGUAAUACAUCGGAACGUGCCUAGUAGUGGGGGAUAACUACUCGAAAGAGUGGCUAAUACCGCAUGAGAUCUACGGAUGAAAGCAGGGGAUCGCAAGACCUUGUGCUACUAGAGCGGCCGAUGGCAGAUUAGGUAGUUGGUGGGAUAAAAGCUUACCAAGCCGACGAUCUGUAGCUGGUCUGAGAGGACGAUCGGCCACACUGGGACUGAGAAACGGCCCAGACUCCUACGGGAGGCAGCAGUGGGGAAUUUUGGACAAUGGGCGCAAGCCUGAUCCAGCAAGGCCGCGUGCAUGAUGAAGGCCUUCGGGUUGUAAACUGCUUUUGUACGGAACGAAAAGCCCCGGGUUAAUACCCUGGGGUCAUGACGGUACCGUAAGAAUAAGCACCGGCUAACUACGUGCCAGCCGCCGCCGUAA
RNAcentral lists this ribosomal RNA (498 nucleotides) under uncultured bacterium. Its description in RNAcentral is "partial 16S ribosomal RNA". It matches the Rfam family "Bacterial small subunit ribosomal RNA", at positions 30 to 523 of the family's 1533-position model. The record is from RNAcentral.